AAAGGACGGAUGAAUGUUUCCAUCACGACAGAUCGGAUACAGAAAAAAAUAAUCGCAGAGCAGCGGCGAUAAUCGUAAUCCGGCACCGUUGGUGGCGUCGGAUUUCGGUGUCAUUAUCGUCCAUUUUUCUGCUAUUCUUACUAUUAGGUAACCAGGAGGGUUGAGAUGAAGAUAUACUUCUCUCUCGUCACGUCGGUUCUCGCCGCAUCUGCCGUGGCUUUCACCUCCCCCGUGGAUCCCAACAUUGCUUUCCAUCCUUCUUCGAAGCAGGGUUCUUUCUCCUCGUCCGUUAAAGACAGGGUUCCUUGCGCCCGCAUAACUUCGGAUAUGGAUAGACUAACGCCAAGAUUCGACGGUUUGAGAUUCAUAGAAACCUUGGUGACGGCACACAGAUAAAUAAAGAUGUCUCACCUGUUUUCUUUCUUCUUUCAUCGUUUCCUAUUGAUAUAAGGAGCAUUCGUUGUAAAAGUUGCGUGAGAGAAGAUUCUUUUCUUGAAAGUUUAGUCCUGUACUACAGGAUUUGAAGCCUA
Molecule: long non-coding RNA, 530 nt
Organism: Nelumbo nucifera (sacred lotus)
Lineage: Eukaryota; Viridiplantae; Streptophyta; Magnoliopsida; Proteales; Nelumbonaceae
Source: RefSeq, a predicted model, not a curated record